RNAcentral lists this ribosomal RNA (440 nucleotides) under uncultured bacterium. Its description in RNAcentral is "partial 16S ribosomal RNA". It matches the Rfam family "Bacterial small subunit ribosomal RNA", at positions 338 to 795 of the family's 1533-position model. The record is from RNAcentral.
CCUACGGGUGGCAGCAGUAGGGAAUAUUGCUCAAUGGGGGAAACCCUGAAGCAGCAACGCCGCGUGGGGGAUGAAGGUUUUCUGAUUGUAAACUCCUUUUGUUAGAGAAGAUAAUUACGGUAUCUACCGACUAUUCUCCGGCUAACUCCGUUCCAGCAGCCGCGGUAAUACGGAGGGUGCCAGCGUUACGCGGAUUCACUGGGCGUAAAGGGCGCGUAGGCGGGAUAGCAAGUCAGAUGUGAAAUCCUAUGGCUUAACCAUAGAACUGCCGUUGAAACUGGUAGGCUUGAGUAUGGGAGAGGUAGGCGGAAUUCGUGGUGUAGCGGUAAAAUCCUUAGAGAUCAAGAGGAACACUGAUUGCGAAGGCGACCUACUAGAACGUGACUGACAUUGAUGCGCGAGAGCGUGGGUAGCAAACAGGAUUAGAUACCCGUGUAGUC